RNAcentral lists this long non-coding RNA (332 nucleotides) under Setaria italica (foxtail millet). Its description in RNAcentral is "long non-coding RNA (SITA_LNC000375)". The record is from RNAcentral. Lineage: Eukaryota; Viridiplantae; Streptophyta; Magnoliopsida; Poales; Poaceae.
UUAGGCGCAAACUAUCAUAGCAAUAGACAUUUGAUCCUUGGUACAGAUUUCUUAGCAUUUGUUUGCGUGUAGCUACAUCUCUCUCAGCCACUUCAUUCGGAUCAACAAUAUGUCUAGGUCUCUUACGCUGAUACCAGUGCACAAUCAUGCUCAUGACAGCAGAAACAAAUAAAGCAGCCACCCUUUUUCUCUUUUUCCUACUCAUCUCUCUCAUUUGCUCCAUGCUUGUAUUAACCAAGUCUAUGUUGUUGUCAGGCAUCUAAAGCACAUAUGCAAAAAGGAAUAUUUUAAUUUAUCAUCAAAAUGCUACACUAUUUUGGAUAAUCAGUAAC